UGGGGAAUCUUGGGCAAUGGGCGAAAGCCUGACCCAGCGACGCCGCGUGGGGGAUGAAGGCCCUCGGGUUGUAAACCCCUUUCAGCGGGGACGAAGCGAAAGUGACGGUACCCGCAGAAGAAGCCCCGGCUAACUACGUGCCAGCAGCCGCGGUAAGACGUAGGGGGCGAGCGUUGUCCGGAUUUAUUGGGCGUAAAGCGCGCGCAGGCGGCCCGUUAAGUCGGUUGUGAAAACCCGAGGCUCAACCUCGGGCCUGCAUCCGAUACUGGCGGGCUUGAGGCAGGUAGGGGAGAGUGGAAUUCCCGGUGUAGCGGUGAAAUGCGCAGAUAUCGGGAGGAACACCGGUGGCGAAGGCGGCUCUCUGGGCCUGUCCUGACGCUCAGGCGCGAAAGCUGGGGGAGCAAACAGG
RNAcentral lists this ribosomal RNA (409 nucleotides) under Bacillota bacterium. RNAcentral describes it as "Firmicutes bacterium partial 16S ribosomal RNA". It matches the Rfam family "Bacterial small subunit ribosomal RNA", at positions 355 to 776 of the family's 1533-position model. The record is from RNAcentral. Lineage: Bacteria; Bacillati; Bacillota.